UGACCUCGGAUCAGGUGGGGAUACCCCCNUGAACUUAAAGCAUAUCAAUAAGCGGGAGGA
RNAcentral lists this ribosomal RNA (60 nucleotides) under Chaenotheca ferruginea. RNAcentral's name for it is "partial 28S ribosomal RNA". Lineage: Eukaryota; Fungi; Ascomycota; Coniocybomycetes; Coniocybales; Coniocybaceae. The record is from RNAcentral.